Molecule: long non-coding RNA, 574 nt
Organism: Lagopus leucura (white-tailed ptarmigan)
Lineage: Eukaryota; Metazoa; Chordata; Aves; Galliformes; Phasianidae
Exons: 4
Source: RefSeq, a predicted model, not a curated record
CACGCGCGGGGAGAGAACUCGAGGCCGCGGGGGGUGAUGGUGGUGGUUGCGGUUGUCGGGCCCGGCCGCACCGCGACCGUGCGGGCGGGCAGAAAUGUGCCUUGGGCUGCUUUGCCCCAGCUCUGCUGGGUCGGUUUCCACAUCAGCAAAGAGGGAACCGCAGUACGCGCACACAUUGCACGGAGGGAGCGCCUGGUACCUCGCUUCAGCUGCUCUCAGGUUCUUGCAGUGGUCCCACAGCUUUGGGAUGCUGGCACGCAGCUCCGCACAGCCCUUCAGCCUCGGGGGCAGGAAGGACGUCAGAGCUACUGCCAUGAUCAAUGCUAAGAAAAAUACGCUUAAAAUUGGAUUUAUCAGCUGUGGGGGGAAUACCAAAAGCACGCUCACCCACCACCGCGCUGCCCAUCUCUGUACGCAUUAAACUCUGCCGUGUGGUGCAAGGACAGCAGGAUGAGUCACAGAGCCUUGAGCUGGAGGGAGCAGCGCCCAGCUGACCCCUCUGGUGGAGCUCAUUGUUUCUCCUCUCCCCCUCCCCAAUCUCAAACUAGGAAAUAAAACUAUAAAACUUCCACAA